Molecule: ribosomal RNA, 107 nt
Filed under: uncultured bacterium
Lineage: Bacteria
Description: partial 16S ribosomal RNA
Rfam family: Bacterial small subunit ribosomal RNA
Source: RNAcentral
CCUUGUACACACCGCCCGUCACACCAUGGGAGUUGUUUGUACCCGAAGAUGUCUUAGCUAACCUGAAAAGGAGGCGGGCGUUUAAGGUAUGGAUGAUGACUGGGGUU